UACGUAGGGCGCAAGCGUUGUCCGGAAUUAUUGGCGUAAAGAGCUCGUAGGCGGUUUGUCGCGUCUGCUGUGAAAACCUAAGGCUCAACCUUGGGCUUGCAGUGGGUACGGGCAGACUAGAGUGCGGUAGGGGUGACUGGAAUUCCUGGUGUAGCGGUGGAAUGCGCAGAUAUCAGGAGGGAACACCCGGGUGGCGAAGGC
Molecule: ribosomal RNA, 201 nt
Filed under: uncultured bacterium
Lineage: Bacteria
Description: partial 16S ribosomal RNA
Rfam family: Bacterial small subunit ribosomal RNA
Source: RNAcentral